GCUUGGGUGGCUCAGUCAGUUGAGCAUCUGACUUUGGCUCAGGUCAUGAUCUCAUGAUUUGUGGGUUCAAGCCCCAUGUCAGGCU
This 85-nucleotide transfer RNA is filed under the name Felis catus (domestic cat). It matches the Rfam family "tRNA". Rfam says of the family: Transfer RNA (tRNA) molecules are approximately 80 nucleotides in length. Lineage: Eukaryota; Metazoa; Chordata; Mammalia; Carnivora; Felidae. The record is from Rfam by way of RNAcentral.